Molecule: RNA transcript, 1250 nt
Organism: Otolemur garnettii (small-eared galago)
Lineage: Eukaryota; Metazoa; Chordata; Mammalia; Primates; Galagidae
Gene name: eukaryotic translation initiation factor 3 subunit G pseudogene
Exons: 1
Source: RefSeq, a predicted model, not a curated record
UUUUCUCUUAGCAAGGCAGCAAAAUGUUUCGUUCAAAAAGUGCUCUUUGAGAAACAAUCUGAGGUGUGGUCCUGAUCACUCCAUGAGCUAAAUAAUAAACUGACAAAACACAACUGAUAUGAAGAAACUGACAACGCAGUCAGAUUGUUUAAUCAAAAGACUUUCUGAAAUGCCGACCGGAGACUUUGAUUUGAAGCCAAGCUGGGCUGACCAGGUGGAAGAGGAGGGAGAGGACGACAAAUGUGUCACCAGUGAGCUCCUCACGGGGCUCCCUCUGAUCACUGGAGACACCAGCCCAGAGCCCAAGCUACUGCCCGGAGCUCCACUGCCACCUCCCAAGGAGGUCAUCAAUGGCAACAUAAAGACAGUGACCGAGUACAAGAUAGAUGAUGAUGGCAAGAAGUUCAAUAUUGUCUGCACCUUCAGGAUUGAGACACGGAAGGUCUCCAAGGCAGUUGCGAGGAGGAAGAACUAGAAGAAGUUUGGGAACUCAGAGUUUGACCCCCCAGGGCCCGAUGUGGCCACCACUACUGUUAGUGAUGAUGUCUCUAUGACAUUCAUCACCAGCAAAAAGGACCUGAACUGCCAGGAGGAGGAGGACCCAAUGAACAAAGUCAAGGGCCAGAAGAUAGUGUCCUGCCGCAUCUGCAAGGGAGACCACUGGACCACCCAUUGCCCCUACAAGGACACCUUGGGGCCCAUGCAGAAGGAACUAGAGGAGCAGCUGGGCCUGUCCACUGGCGAGAAAGAAAAGCUGCCAGGAGAGCUGGAGCUUGUGCAGGCAGCUCAGAACAAGACAGAGAAAUACAUACCACCAAGCCUUCGGGAUGGGGCCAGCCGCCGUGGGGAGUCUAUGCAGCCUAACUGUAGAGCUGAUGACAAUGCCACCAUCCGUGUCACCAACUUGUCAGAGGACACACGUGAGACCGACCUACAGGAGCUCUUCCGGCCCUUUGGCUCCAUCUCCCGCAUCUACCUGGCUAAGGACAAGACCACUGGCCAGUCCAAGGGCUUUGCCUUCAUAAGCUUCCACUGCUGUGAGGAUGCUGCACGUGCCGUUGCUGGGGUAUCUGGCUUUGGCUACGAUCAUCUCAUCCUCAAUAUUGAGUGGGCCAAGCCAUCUACCAACUAAGCCAGCUGCCACCACACCACUUGGCCCUGGACCCUUGGCAAAAGGAGACAGCCUCUGAUGGGGGCUCCAGCUCCAAGGACAAUAAAAAGGCUCAAGAUGCAAAAAAAAAAAAAAAAAA